AUUGAACGCUGGCGGCAUGCCUUACACAUGCAAGUCGAACGACGCCAGGGGGCAACUCCUGGCGAGUGGCAAACGGGUGAGUAAUACAUCGGAACGUAUCCCGUCGUGGGGGACAACCAGUCGAAAGACUGGCUAAUACCGCAUGAGAUCGAAAGAUGAAAGCGGGGGAUCCGCAAGGACCUCGCGAGAUGGGAGCGGCCGAUGGCGGAUUGGCUAGUUGGCGGGGUAAAAGCCCACCAAGGCGACGAUCCGUAGCUGGUUUGAGAGAACGACCAGCCACACUGGGACUGAGACACGGCCCAGACUCCUACGGGAGGCAGCAGUGGGGAAUUUUGGACAAUGGGCGCAAGCCUGAUCCAGCCAUGCCGCGUGUGUGAAGAAGGCCUUCGGGUUGUAAAGCACUUUCGGACGGAACGAAAUCGCGCGGGCGAAUACUCCGCGUGGAUGACGGUACCGUAAGAAGAAGCACCGGCUAACUACGUGCCAGCCGCCGCCGUAA
This 499-nucleotide ribosomal RNA is filed under the name uncultured bacterium. RNAcentral's name for it is "partial 16S ribosomal RNA". It matches the Rfam family "Bacterial small subunit ribosomal RNA", at positions 29 to 523 of the family's 1533-position model. The record is from RNAcentral.